This 429-nucleotide ribosomal RNA is filed under the name Actinomycetes bacterium. RNAcentral describes it as "Actinobacteria bacterium partial 16S ribosomal RNA". It matches the Rfam family "Bacterial small subunit ribosomal RNA", at positions 355 to 776 of the family's 1533-position model. The record is from RNAcentral. Lineage: Bacteria; Bacillati; Actinomycetota; Actinomycetes.
UAGGGAAUCUUCCGCAAUGGGCGAAAGCCUGACGGAGCAACGCCGCGUGAGUGAUGAAGGUCUUCGGAUCGUAAAACUCUGUUAUUAGGGAAGAACAAAUGUGUAAGUAACUAUGCACGUCUUGACGGUACCUAAUCAGAAAGCCACGGCUAACUACGUGCCAGCAGCCGCGGUAAUACGUAGGUGGCAAGCGUUAUCCGGAAUUAUUGGGCGUAAAGCGCGCGUAGGCGGUUUUUUAAGUCUGAUGUGAAAGCCCACGGCUCAACCGUGGAGGGUCAUUGGAAACUGGAAAACUUGAGUGCAGAAGAGGAAAGUGGAAUUCCAUGUGUAGCGGUUAAAUGCGCAGAGAUAUGGAGGAACACCAGUGGCGAUGGCGACUUUCUGGUCUGUAACUGACGCUGCUGUGCGAAAGCGUGGGGAUCAAACAGG